This 429-nucleotide ribosomal RNA is filed under the name Chloroflexota bacterium. RNAcentral's name for it is "Chloroflexi bacterium partial 16S ribosomal RNA". It matches the Rfam family "Bacterial small subunit ribosomal RNA", at positions 355 to 776 of the family's 1533-position model. The record is from RNAcentral. Lineage: Bacteria; Bacillati; Chloroflexota.
UGGGGAAUAUUGCACAAUGGGCGCAAGCCUGAUGCAGCCAUGCCGCGUGUAUGAAGAAGGCCUUCGGGUUGUAAAGUACUUUCAGCGGGGAGGAAGGGAGUAAAGUUAAUACCUUUGCUCAUUGACGUUACCCGCAGAAGAAGCACCGGCUAACUCCGUGCCAGCAGCCGCGGUAAUACGGAGGGUGCAAGCGUUAAUCGGAAUUACUGGGCGUAAAGCGCACGCAGGCGGUUUGUUAAGUCAGAUGUGAAAUCCCCGGGCUCAACCUGGGAACUGCAUCUGAUACUGGCAAGCUUGAGUCUCGUAGAGGGGGGUAGAAUUCCAGGUGUAGCGGUGAAAUGCGUAGAGAUCUGGAAGAAUACCGGUGGCGAAGGCGGCCCCCUGGACAAAGACUGACGCUCAGGUGCGAAAGCGUGGGGAGCAAACAGG